This 301-nucleotide ribosomal RNA is filed under the name uncultured bacterium. Its description in RNAcentral is "partial 16S ribosomal RNA". It matches the Rfam family "Bacterial small subunit ribosomal RNA", at positions 509 to 807 of the family's 1533-position model. The record is from RNAcentral.
CAGUAGCCGCGGUAAUACGGAGGGUGCAAGCGUUAAUCGGAAUUACUGGGCGUAAAGCGCACGCAGGCGGUCUGGCAAGUCAGAUGUGAAAUCCCCGGGCUUAACCUGGGAACUGCAUUUGAAACUGUCAGGCUAGAGUCUUGUAGAGGGGGGUAGAAUUCCAGGUGUAGCGGUGAAAUGCGUAGAGAUCUGGAGGAAUACCGGUGGCGAAGGCGGCCCCCUGGACAAAGACUGACGCUCAGGUGCGAAAGCGUGGGGAGCAAACAGGAUUAGAUACCCCAGUAGUCCCUGUCUCUUAUAC